Drosophila obscura is the source of this 280-nucleotide long non-coding RNA. RefSeq lists it as uncharacterized. The record is from RefSeq and is a predicted model, not a curated record. Lineage: Eukaryota; Metazoa; Arthropoda; Insecta; Diptera; Drosophilidae. The transcript is spliced from 3 exons.
GGCAACCAUCGAUGUUUUUUCAGCAUCACUAAAGUAAAGGAAACGCAGAAGAUAUUCAAUUGGUGGUGUAGGCAACGUCGGUGGAUGUGUGGCAAUGGAAAACUUCCUAAACCGAACAACUAAGGAAAAUUGCGAGUCUCCGGCUCCUGCUACGAAGAGGAAGCGCGAGACUUCGGACGUGUGGCAGCAUUUCAAGAAAACGGCCGAUAAUAAUAAAGCAGUAUGCAUUUACUGCGGAAAAAUGCUUAAGACAGGUGGAAACACUACCAACUUGUGGGAC